UCAUGGUCAGUCAGCCAACAUCACUUCAAACUUUAUUCCAACAAACACAGGUCUCCAUCAGUCAAGCACACUGAUGCUUUUUUUUCUUGGUAUAAUGGCUGGCCGGUCGUUUCCAUCAUUCAUAGGCUUCUUCUAUUUAAAUACUCUCUCCUGAAUUUGAUCACUAUAUGAACCAUGGCAACCACAUCUAGAAUUAUGUUCCUAUUUUUGGAGUGAUAUGAAACUUUCAAAACACCAGGAAUCACUAGAAAUAAAGGAUCAAUUUAGAGCCAGCUCUUAACUCCGUAUCAAGAAGAUGAAGUCUGAUUAAGCAGUUGACUAAUUGUGUGCGCAGUCUGGCCAGUUGCCCGCAGCAUUCUACCUGCUGCGCUGGGGAAGACUGAGCCUCCAUGGAGAAAGAGACUCCAUUGUACAGAACACUCUCCCAUAUGCAAGCUCCGAGAGGCUUCAUGCCAGGCACAGGACACAGAAUAUGGUGAUAAUUAAGUGUCCAAGAUGGAUGGAGCACCGCGGAAAUUUGCUGAAGGCUGCUAGCCAGGAGACUCAAGAAGGAAUUGUUAAAAAGGAGAACUAUCCAAACAUUGUCCUCUCCCUUUGGAGCCUAAACAGGAAAGAAAACUCUUAGGUCUCCCUGUUGGUGGAACCCAUCCGAGCACUGGAGCCUUGUCAAUAUCGUGGCUGGAAGUUGGUUCCUGGAAGACAGAGAAGGAUGGAGAAGAUGGCAAUCUGGAAGAGCAAGAGCUCCGAUUCUCUUGCAAGGUACUGAAAUUCAUCCGGCCGAACUUCCUUGUCUACAAGACAGUGGACUAACUAUCGCAAAGCAAAGAGUGGUACCCAUGGAGAGGCACUGUCCAGGUGCCCAUUCUAGGAAGGACCUGAUACCCAGAGGAGGUUCAGCAGACAGAUGCCAGCUCUCAGCACCUUCAGGGUCUGCUCAGGUGCGGAGAACUGCCUUCUCAGGCAAUCAGCAUAUGUCAAAGGAACACACGUGAAUCAGUUCUAAUGAAAUAGAUGAACCUAGAGCCUAUUAUACAGAGUGAGCUAUGUAAAAGAGAGCCAAAACUUGACUGUGCAAGAAUUCUUUCCAAGUAUAGCUGAAGUCAAUGCAGUUUGAAUGCAUGAAGUGGUUAAAGACAAGAACAGCAGGCAUACUGUACAGGUGCCAUUCAAUCACAAUGAAUAAAACCAAUGUUACGUAGACUCUACCUGUUGAAGUAGCAUCAGGUAUUUGAGCCUUGCUGUAUCCAUUGGCAGAAUCAAGGGAAGAGAUUAAAUAAUUUUGAAGACAAAACAGCUCUUUAAGUCUGUGACCUGAAUUACCCUGACAUUCUUGCUUUGUUCCUGUGCCUCGGCAAAU
Odocoileus virginianus texanus is the source of this 1357-nucleotide long non-coding RNA. RefSeq lists it as uncharacterized. Lineage: Eukaryota; Metazoa; Chordata; Mammalia; Artiodactyla; Cervidae. The record is from RefSeq and is a predicted model, not a curated record.